Long non-coding RNA from Corvus hawaiiensis (hawaiian crow), 3292 nucleotides. RefSeq lists it as uncharacterized. NCBI's taxonomy places the organism in Eukaryota, Metazoa, Chordata, Aves, Passeriformes, Corvidae. The record is from RefSeq and is a predicted model, not a curated record. The transcript has 3 exons.
AGCAGAUUUUUCAGCCCUGCAGACUAAGGCAGAUGAGCAGUACAUGGGACAGAAACUCAGUCUGAAAGAAGUAGGUUUCGAGAUUUAUACUUCUGAAGCCACUUAACUCCUUGUACAGUGUGCUGGAAGAGUUAUAACAUCAAAUAUAGAGCAAAAUACAUCUAUUGGUGCACAAUGUGAUGCUGAUUCACAGUAAAGUGAGAGGCAGCUGUUUCUGCUGCUAGGUGGAAAACUGAGGAUCCACGACCAGUGAAAUGCUCCCUGAAUAGACUCAGUGGUGAGAAAUUAAAAGCGACUUGAUUUGAAAAAGGAAAAGUGAAAGAGGUCUGGAUGCUACAGCUGAAAACCAACACAGGGGCGCUGUUUUCUCAAUGGAAUAGCAGUCAGAAGGUGACUUUUCUUAGUGAAUGGUGAGAGAUACUUCUGCUGAGCAGAAUUGCCUGUUCCAUUUCAGCUCUGUGGGUCUCUUUGAGGGACACCAGUGGAGUGAACUCGCAUGGAACAACGCACUGCGAAAAAUUCCAGGGGAAGCAGGAAGCAAUUGUGCAUCUCUGGCUGGAAGCUGGAGGUCUGUGCUUGCAGUGAGUCAGGAUUUUUGAGCGUGGAAGGGUGUAAAGGUGCAGUGUGGUGGGGAGGUCACUGAGCCAAGUCCUUGCAAGGACUCAUCUUUUGCUGAGCUGCUCAUGCUAACCAGCAGAAAAAGCUGUGUAUGCAAUUGUGGAGGCAAUUCUAGUUUGGAGAGAGCUCUGCAAUUAAACUUCUCCCAGCACCUGGAGCAUCUCAUGUCUUUUGAUGGUGUGGGUGUCUGUGUGGGUGGACACCACUGCCCUGCAACAAGUGCCUGGAACACUCCUGCUGGAAAUUCGAAGAUGCAGUUAAAGCUCCUGCUUUAUGUCCAGCAGCAAACAUUAGACAAUGAUGUUUGAAGCUUUGCCAAGUUUGGGUGCUGACUUGGGUUCACCCAGGAGGGCAUGCUGGAAACUAAUAAUGAGCAGCAUGAUGCAUUUCAGCAUCAGUCAGAGUGAUUUUCCUACCCUUGCCUUUCCUCUGCUUUGUUCCCUUGAGCAGUUACUCCCUCUCAGGUCAGAUGUUCACUUCAAAUAUAUGUGGGUCUUUCUGGAUCACCAAUCUUAAUCUUUCCCAGUCACUUUUCUGGCUCAUUUCUCUUCUGUGCUGAUUUCCCUUGAAAAUAUCAAGUCCUAUUCUGUUACAGUGCUGAAGUUACCCCUUUUCCUCCCUACCUCCCUCUUCACCAACAUUUUGUGUCCCAAUUGAACAGAAGGAGCACUUCUUGUAUAUUGCAGUUAAAAAAAAUGUGUUUAACAUCUGCAUGUGUUGAGGCUUUUCACAGGCAUCAUUCAUGACCUUUUAUGCAGUUCCUGGGAUUCUGUUUUACAAUUAUUUUACAAUUAUUCAGAAUAUUUUUCACAGUGGGUCCACUUUUUUCCCCAUGCUUUCACAGCUGAACUUACAACAUCCACUGAUUGCCUUGUGUUGUUCAUCUAUUUCAUGGAGAUAACAUGGAGCUUUCAAAGUUUCCUUUUUGGCUACCCUGUAUCAGUUAAAAAUUAUUUUUGAUUGCAAAUUCCAUAACAUAUAUGUCAGCAGAUCUUAAUUUUGAUUAAUAAAUGUGCAGCCAGUUUUGUUAGUUUAAUGGGAGAGGGUGGAAAAAGAAUGAGCAGAGGCAGGGUUAAAUUUGACUUCUGAGGUGGGUAUUUGAGCAAAAAGUAAGUCAUGGUGGAUGAAGCCAUAAUUUGUUACAUUUUUCCUGGAGGAAAAGGCUCCACUCUCCCAAAAUGACUUUAUUCCGUGCAAGCAUUGCUUACAAAAAUAAGAAAGAAAUGUGGGUUAAAGUCAACAGGUGGAGAUGUCAAAUGCUGCUGGGGUAGAGCAACUGCUCAGAUGGAUUUCUCUGAUUUCCUGGAGGAUGUGAACCUGCAUUUCCCUGAUAAAUGUCUCUAUCUUGCUCUGGAGAGCGAGGGAAGAGGCGGGAGAAGAGCCUGCUCAGGUCUCCCACUGAAGCCCUACUGCUUUGAAUAAAUAAUUAAGCUUUCACACCUCUCAGACGAGCGUUCUCAUCACAGCUGACACAAUCCCAUGUCUGUUCUCACCAACUGUUUAAGUAUUUUUUGGAAAAGAGAAGCAUUACAGUGUCAGAACCGUCAGAACACAUUGAUAAGAACAGUUAUACCCAUGCAUGCAGCACGUACAGAUGUGAAUCCACCUCCAUUUUCCAGUUUUACUGGUCAUUACUGAAAGAGACAAAAUUUUCCUGACUCUUUGGUGUCUGGGUGAAACAUCUGAGUGCUGGUGUUUGUUCUGGUGGGUGUUUGAUUAUUUGUGAAGCAUGGAAUGGUGACGAGAGGAGGGGCAGAGCUCCAGUUAGGGCACAGUGGUUUUGUGCCCACAGUCACAGGAGGAAGGUGAAUUGGAAGAAUCUUACAUGACAACUUGUGGCCCAGGCUAUAAUUUCCAGUAUUUUUCUUGGUAGCUGGACUUCAAUAUAGCUGUGAUUUACCAGAAAAUAAAUACUUUGGUUUCUUUCCUUGAAACGACUUGCUGCAGCACUUUAAAUGGCUCAGUUUUAGUUUUCCUCUGUAGGUAGGUACUGAAGUGACAUCAGUUCAGUAAUAGACCGAGCAGAUCCUAUGGGAGAAUGACUAACCUUGAAAUAUUAAAAAAUCAAAAUAUAAGCCUGUGCAAUUAGACCAGGAAAGUGGAAGCCUAAUGCUCUAGUGAGGGCAAAUGGCAUAUAUGAAAAUAUUAAACAGCUGCUGGCAGAGUGGCACUGAAAUAUCAGAUAAUGCCAGUUCUGUUCUCAGAUGAAUUCCAAAGGCAUUUCUUCUUGGAAGCUCUCUUAACACUACUAGGAACCAUCUGAAUUUUUCAUAUACCUUGAUGGGUUAUAAAUUAGCUGGGAUCACUCUGGAGAAAGACCUCCUCACAGGGGACAAGCUCAGUGGGAACAUCUGCUCGGCUGUGCCACAGUGGUCAAAGAGGCAAAGAAGGCAGUGGGUUGUAUCAGGGAAAAUGUGUAGAACAAAACUGAAAUUUCAGUGCUGCUGUUGCAUGUAUAGAUGCAUUAUCUUUACUUCUGUGCUUAAUGCUUCAGGAAUUCCAGAAUGUCAGGGAAAAUGCUGCAAGUGUACAAGCUUGGUGUCUGACUAUCCUUUGUUUAGUUUUAAGGUGACAAAUGACAGCUAGUUUUAUUUUUAUUUAUAGCCUUGUUUUCAUUACAUAAAAAUAGUGCUUAAAGCUUGAACAAGUAUUAACUCUCUGAGCCGUAUCAUAA